RNAcentral lists this small nuclear RNA (119 nucleotides) under Dicentrarchus labrax (European seabass). Its description in RNAcentral is "U1 spliceosomal RNA (ENSDLAG00005035108.1)". Lineage: Eukaryota; Metazoa; Chordata; Actinopteri; Moronidae. The record is from RNAcentral.
AUGCUUACCUGGCAGGGGAGAUAUCAUGAUCAAGAAGGUGGUUCACCCAGGGUGAGGCUCAGUUAUUGCUGUCAGGCUGUGCUAAUCCCUGCGAAUUGGUCUGGGCCUGUACAAAGUGC